RNAcentral lists this ribosomal RNA (375 nucleotides) under uncultured organism. RNAcentral's name for it is "partial 16S ribosomal RNA". It matches the Rfam family "Bacterial small subunit ribosomal RNA", at positions 527 to 896 of the family's 1533-position model. The record is from RNAcentral.
GUAGGUGGCAAGCGUUGUCCGGGAAUUAUUGGGGCGUAAAGCGCGCGCAGGUGGUUCUUUAAGUCUGAUGUGAAAGCCCACGGGCUCAACCGUGGAGGGUCAUUGGAAACUGGAGAACUUGAGUACAGAAGAGGAAAGCGGAAUUCCACGUGUAGCGGUGAAAUGCGUAGAGAUGUGGAGGAACACCAGUGGCGAAGGCGGCUUUCUGGUCUGUAACUGACGCUGAGGCGCGAAAGCGUGGGGAGCAAACAGGAUUAGAUACCCUGGUAGUCCACGCCGUAAACGAUGAGUGCUAAGUGUUAGGUGGUUUCCGCCCCUUAGUGCUGCAGCUAACGCAUUAAGCACUCCGCCUGGGGAGUACGGCCGCAAAGGCUG